RNAcentral lists this long non-coding RNA (471 nucleotides) under Lepidothrix coronata (blue-crowned manakin). RNAcentral describes it as "lncRNA (ENSLCOG00000003861.1)". The record is from RNAcentral. Lineage: Eukaryota; Metazoa; Chordata; Aves; Passeriformes; Pipridae.
UAAGUCAAUACUGAAGGCAUUUCCUUGACAGUAACAUUGCAAGUUAAUUUUUACAACAGGGAUUCCGUGGAAUUAAGGGGGAAAAAGGGGAGCCAGGCCAACCUGGCCUGGAUGGGCUGGAUGCCCCUUGCCAAUUGGGUCCCGAUGGAUUACCAAUGCCUGGCUGUUGGCAAAAGUGAUGAAUCUAACCUUACAAGCAUGAAGUUGUGUAUAUAGCGCUCCACUUCUUUUAUUUAUAGUUGAAAACUGAAAAUUUGGUUUUACAAGUCUGAGAUAUGUUUACAUGUAGCUGCUUCUACUUGUUUGCAAUAGUCCAUACGUACUUUUUCACUUACAUCUGCAGUUAGGUGAUACUGCAGGGUAAACCUGCAAAGAUUGUCUCUCUAAUGAGAGAUAUCGAAACAAAAAUCAAUAAUAGAAAUUAAUAUUUCUGUAAAUUCUUAUAUUUUGGCUUGUGGAUAUGCAUGGACA